RNAcentral lists this transfer RNA (124 nucleotides) under Pseudozyma flocculosa. It matches the Rfam family "tRNA". Rfam says of the family: Transfer RNA (tRNA) molecules are approximately 80 nucleotides in length. Their secondary structure includes four short double-helical elements and three loops (D, anti-codon, and T loops). Lineage: Eukaryota; Fungi; Basidiomycota; Ustilaginomycetes; Ustilaginales; Ustilaginaceae. RNAcentral also lists the same sequence under 1 other name. The record is from Rfam by way of RNAcentral.
GGCUGGAUGGUGAAGUGGUUAACACGCCAGAUUUAGGCGACCGCGCCCGGACGCGCGGAGUACACUUAAGCGGCUCUCUUUCUAGGGACUCUGGUAUGCGUGGGUUCGAACCCCACUCUAGUCA